RNAcentral lists this ribosomal RNA (439 nucleotides) under uncultured bacterium. Its description in RNAcentral is "partial 16S ribosomal RNA". It matches the Rfam family "Bacterial small subunit ribosomal RNA", at positions 339 to 795 of the family's 1533-position model. The record is from RNAcentral.
CUACGGGCCGCAGCAGUGGGGAAUAUUGCACAAUGGACGAAAGUCUGAUGCAGCAACGCCGCGUGGAGGAUGACACAUUUCGGUGCGUAAACUCCUUUUAUAUAAGAAGAUAAUGACGGUAUUAUAUGAAUAAGCACCGGCUAACUCCGUGCCAGCAGCCGCGGUAAUACGGGGGGUGCAAGCGUUACUCGGAAUCACUGGGCGUAAAGCGCAUGUAGGCGGACUUGUAAGUUGGAAGUGAAAUCCUAUGGCUCAACCAUAGAACUGCUUCCAAAACUGCUUGUCUAGAAUAUGGGAGAGGUAGAUGGAAUUUCUGGUGUAGGGGUAAAAUCCGUAGAGAUCAGAAGGAAUACCGAUUGCGAAGGCGAUCUACUGGAACAUUAUUGACGCUCAGAUGCGAAAGCGUGGGGAGCAAACAGGAUUAGAUACCCCCGUAGUC